Molecule: ribosomal RNA, 345 nt
Filed under: uncultured archaeon
Lineage: Archaea
Description: bacterial SSU rRNA
Rfam family: Archaeal small subunit ribosomal RNA
Source: RNAcentral
CCGACGGUGAGGGGUGAAGCCCUGGGGCGCAAACGGGAUUAGAUACCCCGGUAGUCCAGGGUGUAAACGCUGCGGGUUUGGUGUUGGGGGUCCUUAGUGGGCGCCCAGUGCCGGAGAGAAGUUGUUAAGCCUGCUGCUUGGGGAGUAUGUCCGCAAGGAUGAAACUUAAAGGAAUUGGCGGGGGAGCACCGCAACGGGAGGAGCGUGCGGUUCAAUUGGAUUCAACGCCGAAAAACUCACCAGGAGCGACGGAUAUAUGAAGGUCAAGCUGAUGACUUUACCUGAUUUUCCGAGAGGUGGUGCAUGGCCGUCGUCAGUUCGUACCGUAAGGCGUUCUCUUAAGUG